GAUGAACGCUGGCGGCGUGCCUAAUACAUGCGAGUCGAGCGAACGGACGAGAAGCUUGCUUCUCUGAUGUUAUCGGCGGACGGGUGAGUAACACGUGGAUAACCUACCUAUACGACUGGGAUAACUUCGGGAAACCGGAGCUAAUACCGUAUGAUAUUUUUAACCGCAUGGUUCAAAAGUGAAAGACGGUCUUGCUAUCACUUAUAGAUGUAUCCGCGCUGCAUUAGCUAGUUGGUAAGGUAACGGCUUACCAAGGCAACGAUGCAUAGCCGACCUGAGAGGGUGAUCGGCGACACUGCAACUGAGACACGGUCCAGACUCCUACGGGAGGCAGCAGUAGGGAAUCUUCCUCAAUGGGCGAAAGCGUGACGGAGCAACGCCGCGUGAGUGAUGAAGGUCUUCGGAUCGUAAAACUCUGUUAUUGGGGAAGAACAUAUGUGUAAGUAACUGUGCACAUCUUGACGGUACCUUAUCAGAAAGCCACGGCUAACUACGUG
Molecule: ribosomal RNA, 497 nt
Filed under: uncultured bacterium
Lineage: Bacteria
Description: partial 16S ribosomal RNA
Rfam family: Bacterial small subunit ribosomal RNA
Source: RNAcentral